Molecule: ribosomal RNA, 847 nt
Filed under: Salmonella enterica subsp. enterica serovar Enteritidis
Lineage: Bacteria; Pseudomonadati; Pseudomonadota; Gammaproteobacteria; Enterobacterales; Enterobacteriaceae
Description: partial 23S ribosomal RNA
Rfam family: Bacterial large subunit ribosomal RNA
Source: RNAcentral
GGUUAAGCGACUAAGCGUACACGGUGGAUGCCCUGGCAGUCAGAGGCGAUGAAGGGCGUGCUAAUCUGCGAUAAGCGCCGGUAAGGUGAUAUGAACCGUUAUAACCGGCGAUACCCGAAUGGGGAAACCCAGUGUGAUUCGUCACACUAUCAUUAACUGAAUCCAUAGGUUAAUGAGGCGAACCGGGGGAACUGAAACAUCUAAGUACCCCGAGGAAAAGAAAUCAACCGAGAUUCCCCCAGUAGCGGCGAGCGAACGGGGAGGAGCCCAGAGCCUGAAUCAGCAUGUGUGUUAGUGGAAGCGUCUGGAAAGGCGCGCGAUACAGGGUGACAGCCCCGUACACAAAAGCGCAUGUGCUGUGAGCUCGAUGAGUAGGGCGGGACACGUGGUAUCCUGUCUGAAUAUGGGGGGACCAUCCUCCAAGGCUAAAUACUCCUGACUGACCGAUAGUGAACCAGUACCGUGAGGGAAAGGCGAAAAGAACCCCGGCGAGGGGAGUGAAAAAGAACCUGAAACCGUGUACGUACAAGCAGUGGGAGCCCCACCACCAAAGCAUUUGCUGUACCGCGUUGACGGAGCGAAGCGACGUCAAACCGAUAAAACAGCAGUGUAAAGUGAGCCGCAGGGCGCUUUGCGCGACAGCGCAAAGGCAGGCGGUUUCGCGUAGCGAAAGCGAAUGCUUUGGGGUGGGGUGACUGCGUACCUUUUGUAUAAUGGGUCAGCGACUUAUAUUCUGUAGCAAGGUUAACCGAAUAGGGGAGCCGGAGGGAAACCGAGUCUUAAUUGGGCGUUAAGUUGCAGGGUAUAGACCCGAAACCCGGUGAUCUAGCCAUGGGCAGGUUGAAGG